Non-coding RNA from Benincasa hispida (wax gourd), 2775 nucleotides. The record is from RefSeq and is a predicted model, not a curated record. Lineage: Eukaryota; Viridiplantae; Streptophyta; Magnoliopsida; Cucurbitales; Cucurbitaceae.
UUGUUUUGGAGUGUGGCAGUAUGGUAGGACAGUUGGACUACGAAACACGUGUGCUGCCAAUGUAAGAAUCUUUGCACACGUGUCAGUAAGGAUUUGUGUAACGAACUCAGCUCAGCUUCCAUUCCAUUGCGCGGCAAAAUCGCUUGUCAUUUCCUGUUAAGGCAUUCAUUCAGUACGGCGAGAAGAUUUGAAGCGACGAAAGGCAAAAAUGGGAGUUUUCGAAACGGUGAAAAACAUCGGCAGCGAUCACGCUCAGGUCGUCCCCUUGACGUUGUUCGUUGCCGUUCUUUGUUUUUGUUUGGUUAUUGGCCACUUGCUUGAAGAAAAUCGAUGGGUUAAUGAAUCCAUCACCGCCAUUAUCAUUGGAGUUGUUACUGGAACGAUCAUAUUGGUCUGCAGCAAGGGAAAAAAUUCUCAUAUCCUAACUUUUAAUGAAGAAGUGUUCUUCAUAUAUCUUCUUCCACCAAUAAUUUUCAAUGCUGGAUUUCAAGUUAAAAAGAAGCAGUUCUUCCAUAAUUUCUUGACCAUUAUGCUGUUUGGGGUGAUUGGUGUUUUUAUAUCUGCACUUAUUAUAACGGCUGGCAGCCGAUGGCUGUUUCCGAGAAUGGGCUUUCAUGGACUGUCAGCACGGGACUACGUUGCUAUAGGUGCUAUUUUUUCAUCCACGGACACAGUAUGCACCCUGCAGGUACUACACCAAGAGGAGACGCCUUUACUCUACAGCCUAGUCUUUGGGGAAGGAGUGGUGAACGAUGCAACCUCAGUUGUUCUCUUCAAUGCAGUCCAGAAGAUUGAUAUCACUAGGCUUAACAACAAGACAGCCCUUCAUCUUUUGGGAGAUUUUUGUUACUUAUUUUCAACAAGCACUGUCCUUGGAGUUACCACCGGGCUUCUAACAGCAUAUAUCCUGAAAACCUUAUAUUUUGGGAGACAUUCAAGUGUGCGUGAGCUUGCGAUAAUGGUUUUAAUGGCUUACCUAUCGUACAUGCUGGCAGAGUUACUGGAGUUGAGUGGAAUACUCACAGUUUUCUUUUGUGGGAUUAUCAUGUCGCACUAUGCAUGGCAUAAUGUGACUGAUGGUUCAAGAAUUACCACCAGGCAUGUAUUUGCAAUGAUGUCGUUUGUUGCUGAAACUGCAAUAUUUCUUUAUGUGGGCAUGGAUGCUCUUGACAUUGAGAAGUGGAAGAUAACUAAAUUAAGCUUGUGGAAGUUGCUUGGUACAUAUACCACAAUAGUUCUCUUGAUAUUGCUUGGUCGUGCUGCUUUUGUAUUUCCCCUAUCUGCUAUAUCUAAUUACUUUGUUAAGCGUGAAGAUAGAUCGUCGUCGCCUUCUAUGAUCUCAUUUAAACAACAGAUCAUUAUAUGGUGGGCUGGACUGAUGAGAGGAGCUGUGUCCAUUGCUCUGGCUUUCAAACAGUUCACAUAUUCCGGGGUUACGGUGGAUCCAACCCAUGCAACAAUGAUUACCAACACCACAAUUGUUGUACUCUUCACCACAGUGGUAUUUGGGUUUCUAACAAAGCCACUCAUAAGAUGUCUAAUACCUCCCAACCAAGCAAGUAGCAGUACAAGCAACCCCAGACCAAAGUUCACUGAAGACGACAUAACUCUCCCUUUGCUCUCCAUGGAAGAGUCUGCUGCAACCAACGUCCUCCGGGCAAAGGAUAGUUUGUCGAUGUUAAUAGAGAGGCCUGUUUUCACCAUACAUUUCUUUUGGAGGAAAUUUGAUGAUUCAUACAUGAGACCUAUAUUUGGAGGGCCUCGCCACAACCAACCACCUGGUGGUUCUGGUUGUUAAGACACAACUGCAGGAACAGCAACUUUGAAUGGUUAAUAACUCUCUCUCUCACACUAAAAUAUUCCAAUUCUCAUUGAUCACUAAAUGAAACUUGAUGUUUAGAAUCUUGGAAUGUUGGAAGCAUAAAAACUGUGGUCAUUUUGGUAGUGGAAAGGAGCACAUAGUGAAAUCUGUGAUGUAAUUAUUGGCUGGAAACUAAUUGGAUUGGAUUGGAAGUGCUCUUUCUGACCACAUUGUUGCUUUAUUUAGUAGACAAACUCUUGUUGCUUUAUUUAGUAGACAAAAACUUUUGUUGCUUUAUUUAGUAGACAAAAACUUUGGCUCACAUGUAAAUAGUAUAAGUUUUUGUGUGACAUCAAGGAACAGGUACUGCAACUUGUCUUUUAUAUGUACAUACACAUGCAUGGUAUUGUCUUGUUAACAUGUCACUGAUCAAGAUUCAAGAACCAUAAGCUCCUCGAUCCUCCAUGUUUGAUUCUUCUCAAGGGCACUCAUCUUCUCAUAUACAACUUUUCUCCAUUCUGGAAUGUUAAGAGCCUCCAAAACGCUAUUUGGUGUUUGGAUAUUGGUGACACUAGAAGUAAAAGCAGAAAAAGACUCGGAGAGAUUUGAGUAAGAUACAUGAUUUAACAUAGGAUAUUCGACACAUGAACGUUUUUCUUUUCUCAAAGCCAUAGGAAUAUCAAAAUCAAAGAUUGAAUUUUCACCUGGGGAUUUGUCUGAUCUUGGUUCAAAAUCUUGACAGAAAAGAGGAGGGAUAGUUUUCGGGAUCUUGAUGAUUUGUCCUCCUCUCAUAAGUUUGCCCAAAGAGUUUUGUUGAUUUCAAUGGAUAUCUAUUUUCAGAAUGAUGUUGAUUACGAGUAAAAUGAUGUGAAUGCACACCAUCUAAUCCAUGCUGAUGCUUAUUUUUAAAGUUAAGAUUUUCUUCUCAAAUGUGAUUGCUGUUGAAAUUGUUUCAUGCAUUGUUUCCCUAAUCU